AAAGUCUCCUAUCCUGGGAAGCUCUGUGAGGACAGGGACUCUGCCUUCUUCGCCUCUAUCUCCACUGCCUACACUGUGUCUUGCACGUAGCAGCCCCUCAGGACAUAUUUGUGCAAUAAACAAAUGAAUAUCUAAGCAACUGAAUGAAAAGGAGGGAGAGCAGAGGUGCCCCACUUUAAAGCUACAGCCAUCCCGCCUGAUAGCAGAGAGGCCUUGGAAUCCUGUUUUCAUCAUUUGCAGCACAUGCCGCCAAUGCCAGAUCAGCCUCGCCGAUGCUUUCACUCCUAACACCGGCUGCCUGCUUCCUGACAUCCUCAUUGAUGUUUAUGUUCCUGUCUCCAUAGUUACCGAGACGCCUCAGAGGCCAGCAGCUGUUUUGCAUCCCAAGAUCAACACACACGAGUGUCUGGAGACCCUGGGUGAUCAAGGCCAGGUGGAAGUUUUGGAAGCUAACAUGGUUGCACAUGUCAUUUCCUCAUGGACCAAAUGCCUGCAGCCAGCUUGUCAUAGAAUCAAACUUAGCUUGUCAGGGCUCUGAGCUCUUCCUCAGCCUGCAAGCUGUAGACGCAGACAGAACUUACAAAGAAUUAUUCUAAACAAGAGCAAGAGAGGUUGAAAGGGACUGUUGUGAAGAAAAGAGAGGCUACCAGAUAUUUAGGAAUAAGUGGGAGGAAAAAUUGCAAACCUAGAUUUCUCUUUCCUGUGGUGGUAAAGAAGCUCUAGCAUUUGGCUUUCUGAUUAAGGGAAAAAGACACAUAGAGAUGCAAAGGAAGCCUGGAAUUCAUCCUACACCUAAGGAAACCAUCGGGAUGAUCUGUGCAGGUGGUGACUUGGAAAAAGGAGAGGAGGAGGAGGUCUACACCAGCCCUUUGAGGAGGACCCGUGUGAGAUAACUGAAAGGAGAAGCCUGAGCAGAUGCUAAGAACAAAGAUUACGUAAUGGAGAUCUGAUGUUAAAGAUAGACCUAUGGCUUCAGACAGCAUCAUCCUCUACUUCUACGGAAAAUGAAGAAGACAAAUCAACC
Molecule: long non-coding RNA, 1024 nt
Filed under: Equus caballus (horse)
Lineage: Eukaryota; Metazoa; Chordata; Mammalia; Perissodactyla; Equidae
Description: lncRNA (ENSECAG00000053839.1)
Source: RNAcentral